GAUGAACGCUGGCGGCGUGCCUAAUACAUGCAAGUCGAGCGAACAGACGAGGAGCUUGCUCCUUCGACGUUAGCGGCGGACGGGGGAGUAACACGUAGGUAACCUACCUAUAAGACUGGGAUAACUUCGGGAAACCGGAGCUAAUACCGGAUAAUAUUUCGAACCGCAUGGUUCGAUAGUGAAAGAUGGCUUUGCUAUCACUUAUAGAUGGACCUGCGCCGUAUUAGCUAGUUGGUAAGGUAACGGCUUACCAAGGCAACGAUACGUAGCCGACCUGAGAGGGUGAUCGGCCACACUGGAGCUGAGCCACGGUCCAGACUCCUACGGGAGGCAGCAGUAGGGAAUCUUCCGCAACGGGCGAAAGCCUGACGGAGCAACGCCGCGUGAGUGAUGAAGGUCUUCGGAUCGUAAAACUCUGUUAUUAGGGGAGAACAAACGUGUAAGUAACUGUGCACGUCUUGACGGUACCUAAUCAGAAAGCCACGGCUAACUACGUG
Molecule: ribosomal RNA, 497 nt
Filed under: uncultured bacterium
Lineage: Bacteria
Description: partial 16S ribosomal RNA
Rfam family: Bacterial small subunit ribosomal RNA
Source: RNAcentral